RNAcentral lists this ribosomal RNA (1432 nucleotides) under Bacillus spizizenii. RNAcentral's name for it is "Bacillus subtilis subsp. spizizenii partial 16S ribosomal RNA". It matches the Rfam family "Bacterial small subunit ribosomal RNA". Lineage: Bacteria; Bacillati; Bacillota; Bacilli; Caryophanales; Bacillaceae. The record is from RNAcentral.
UAGCGGCGGACGGGUGAGUAACACGUGGGUAACCUGCCUGUAAGACUGGGAUAACUCCGGGAAACCGGGGCUAAUACCGGAUGGUUGUUUGAACCGCAUGAUUCAAACAUAAAAGGUGGCUUCGGCUACCACUUACAGAUGGACCCGCGGCGCAUUAGCUAGUUGGUGAGGUAACGGCUCACCAAGGCAACGAUGCGUAGCCGACCUGAGAGGGUGAUCGGCCACACUGGGACUGAGACACGGCCCAGACUCCUACGGGAGGCAGCAGUAGGGAAUCUUCCGCAAUGGACGAAAGUCUGACGGAGCAACGCCGCGUGAGUGAUGAAGGUUUUCGGAUCGUAAAGCUCUGUUGUUAGGGAAGAACAAGUACCGUUCGAAUAGGGCGGUACCUUGACGGUACCUAACCAGAAAGCCACGGCUAACUACGUGCCAGCAGCCGCGGUAAUACGUAGGUGGCAAGCGUUGUCCGGAAUUAUUGGGCGUAAAGGGCUCGCAGGCGGUUUCUUAAGUCUGAUGUGAAAGCCCCCGGCUCAACCGGGGAGGGUCAUUGGAAACUGGGGAACUUGAGUGCAGAAGAGGAGAGUGGAAUUCCACGUGUAGCGGUGAAAUGCGUAGAGAUGUGGAGGAACACCAGUGGCGAAGGCGACUCUCUGGUCUGUAACUGACGCUGAGGAGCGAAAGCGUGGGGAGCGAACAGGAUUAGAUACCCUGGUAGUCCACGCCGUAAACGAUGAGUGCUAAGUGUUAGGGGGUUUCCGCCCCUUAGUGCUGCAGCUAACGCAUUAAGCACUCCGCCUGGGGAGUACGGUCGCAAGACUGAAACUCAAAGGAAUUGACGGGGGCCCGCACAAGCGGUGGAGCAUGUGGUUUAAUUCGAAGCAACGCGAAGAACCUUACCAGGUCUUGACAUCCUCUGACAAUCCUAGAGAUAGGACGUCCCCUUCGGGGGCAGAGUGACAGGUGGUGCAUGGUUGUCGUCAGCUCGUGUCGUGAGAUGUUGGGUUAAGUCCCGCAACGAGCGCAACCCUUGAUCUUAGUUGCCAGCAUUCAGUUGGGCACUCUAAGGUGACUGCCGGUGACAAACCGGAGGAAGGUGGGGAUGACGUCAAAUCAUCAUGCCCCUUAUGACCUGGGCUACACACGUGCUACAAUGGACAGAACAAAGGGCAGCGAAACCGCGAGGUUAAGCCAAUCCCACAAAUCUGUUCUCAGUUCGGAUCGCAGUCUGCAACUCGACUGCGUGAAGCUGGAAUCGCUAGUAAUCGCGGAUCAUCAUGCCGCGGUGAAUACGUUCCCGGGCCUUGUACACACCGCCCGUCACACCACGAGAGUUUGUAACACCCGAAGUCGGUGAGGUAACCUUUUAGGAGCCAGCCGCCGAAGGUGGGACAGAUGAUUAGGGUGAAGACGUAACAAGGGGUUAACGGGAAAA